RNAcentral lists this ribosomal RNA (496 nucleotides) under uncultured bacterium. RNAcentral describes it as "partial 16S ribosomal RNA". It matches the Rfam family "Bacterial small subunit ribosomal RNA", at positions 28 to 506 of the family's 1533-position model. The record is from RNAcentral.
GAUGAACGCUGGCGGCGUGCCUAAUACAUGCAAGUCGAGCGAACAGAUAAGGAGCUUGCUCCUUUGACGUUAGCGGCGGACGGGUGAGUUACACGUGGAUAACCUACCUAUAAGACUGGGAUAACUUCGGGAAACCGGAGCUAAUACCGGAUAACAUAUUGAACCGCAUGGUUCAAUAGUGAAAGGCGGCUUUGCUGUCACUUAUAGAUGGAUCCGCGCCGUAUUAGCUAGUUGGUAAGGUAACGGCUUACCAAGGCAACGAUACGUAGCCGACCUGAGAGGGUGAUCGGCCACACUGGAACUGAGACACGGUCCAGACUCCUACGGGAGGCAGCAGUAGGGAAUCUUCCGCAAUGGGCGAAAGCCUGACGGAGCAACGCCGCGUGAGUGAUGAAGGUCUUCGGAUCGUAAAACUCUGUUAUCAGGGAAGAACAAAUGUGUAAGUAACUGUGCACAUCUUGACGGUACCUGAUCAGAAAGCCACGGCUAACUACGU